Perca fluviatilis (European perch) is the source of this 367-nucleotide long non-coding RNA. RefSeq lists it as uncharacterized. The transcript is spliced from 4 exons. The record is from RefSeq and is a predicted model, not a curated record. NCBI's taxonomy places the organism in Eukaryota, Metazoa, Chordata, Actinopteri, Perciformes, Percidae.
GCUGGUAGUGCUGGUCGUCAUCGCCGCUGUUCUCAUCAUAUACAGGAAGAGAGCCAAUGUGACAGAGGAUGUUCCGAAACCAACUCAACACCCUGGCGAGCCAGAGAGCAAUCUGACCUAUGUCACUGUAAACCAUGCUAAUCAGCAGGCCUCUUCUUACAAAAAGGUCAAAAGGAGGAGGUGACGUAUUCUACAGUCAGAAGUCAGAAGACAGAAGCAGACGAAUCUCCCAGCAGUCUCUACAGCAAUGUCAGAAACCCCAAAUAAAUCAGAGGAAAUGGGACUUCUCACAAUGACCUGUUCAUAGAUCCUGCCGUCAGAGUGUUUUCUGUCUGUUGAGGAGUGGACAGUUGGAUUUGUGCUUUGU